AGAGUUUGAUCCUGGCUCAGGAUGAACGUUGGCGGCGUGGAUUAGGCAUGCAAGUCGAACGAGCCUCUGGGGGGUAACUCCUAGAGGAAAGUGGCGAAAGGGGCAGUAAUGUAUGGGUAACCUACCUUGAGGUCUGGGAUAGCUAUUCUAACGGAUAGGUAAUACCGGACGGCCUGAGUCGUCGGCAUCGAUGAUUUAGUAAAGGUUACGCCUCGAGAGGGGCCCAUAUGAUAUUAGCUAGUUGGUGAGGUAAUGGCUCACCAAGGCAAAGAUGUCUAGCGGGUGUGAGAGCACGACCCGCGUCACUGGCACUGAGACACUGGCCAGACUCCUACGGGAGGCUGCAGUCGAGGAUCUUCGGCAAUGGACGCAAGUCUGACCGAGCAACGCCGCGUGUGCGAUGAAGGCCUUCGGGUUGUAAAGCACUGUCGAGGGGAAACAAGCCGUAAGGUUGAGUGACCCCUGGAGGAAGCACGGGCUAAGUUCGUGCCAGCAGCCGCGGUAAGACGAACCGUGCAAACGUUAUUCGGAAUCACUGGGCUUAAAGGGCGCGUAGGCGGGUAAUCAAGUCAAUGGUGAAAGCCUCCAGCUUAGCUGGAGAAGUGCCUUUGAUACUGAUUGUCUAGAGUGAGGUAGGGGCAUGUGGAACUUCCGGUGGAGCGGUGAAAUGCGUAGAUAUCGGAAGGAACGCCAGUGGCGAAAGCGAUGUGCUGGACCUUUUCUGACGCUGAGGCGCGAAAGCUAGGGGAUCAAACGGGAUUAGAUACCCUGGUAGUCC
Molecule: ribosomal RNA, 778 nt
Filed under: uncultured bacterium
Lineage: Bacteria
Description: bacterial SSU rRNA
Rfam family: Bacterial small subunit ribosomal RNA
Source: RNAcentral